CGCGCCGCCCGGGGCCCACCCCGCCUGGCCUGCGAGGCGGGUGUUGCCUCCUGUUUCCUCCGCUUGGCAAGUGGUAGGUCUGGGAUUGGAACCCAAUUCGCUAAGGAACCAUGUUCUUUCCUCCAUUCCGCUUGGGGACAUUUUAACCAGCAAUGAAACCUUAUUUCUAGGCCCCACACCUGGAUGGAGCCCACAGCCCGGGAAUCAACCGCUGACCAGCCGGUGACCUCCUGGUUCAUAAGUCCAUGCUCAACUCCGGAGCCCCACCCGCCAGGUGGUAAUUCUUUCUUUAAAGGAUGCUUGUAGAUAGAGACUUGGAAUCUUUUAUCAGAGAAUGCUCCUGCUCCUGGGCCUCUACUUGGGGUUAAGUGGGGCAGUGUGGAGGGGAGAGCUACACUGGGUUUGGCCAGUGCAAAACCCUGUUAAAAAACAGACAGCUAGUCCCAAAUGGAGUCAUUUGCGCCAAGCCCAUGUCUCAAACUAAGACUUAAUACUUAACCUAAUUGCAGUUUCACUUUCUCCCUGGAAUGUCACCUUUAGCCAUUCCGCCCGGGGUUACCUGAUAGACCCCUUCCGUGUGGCUUAGGAGGGCGACCUUGUCUACAACAAUGUUCUUAGCCAAUAAUUUCCUUUUCCCACCCCUUUCCACCUUUAAAACCAUUUCUUUUCUGCAGCUGGGCUGAGCUAUUUGCUGGAUGGGAUGCUGCCCAAUUCAUGAAUCAGUGAAUAAAGCCAAUUAGAUCUUUACAUUUA
This is a long non-coding RNA of Myotis brandtii (Brandt's bat), 753 nucleotides long. RefSeq lists it as uncharacterized. The record is from RefSeq and is a predicted model, not a curated record. Lineage: Eukaryota; Metazoa; Chordata; Mammalia; Chiroptera; Vespertilionidae. The transcript is spliced from 2 exons.